This 20377-nucleotide long non-coding RNA is filed under the name Sorghum bicolor (sorghum). RNAcentral's name for it is "long non-coding RNA (SBIC_LNC002506)". The record is from RNAcentral. Lineage: Eukaryota; Viridiplantae; Streptophyta; Magnoliopsida; Poales; Poaceae.
CCGACCCUGCCGCAGCCCUCUCUUUCCUCUCUCCCUCGGUAGUCCCUCCUUAUCGCCACCGCCGCCGCCUCCAUGCCUCUCCCCUCCCUGCCCUCUCCUCCCCGCGUCGCCUCCAUGCCGGCACGAGCAGAGGAGUUAAAUCGAAGAGGAGGCAUCCAUAGAUUAUUCAUGUGGAGGACCGGAGAAGGGGUUCCUGGUCCCAAAGACCUCUGCGCACUCUUCGGAUUUGGGCGCCCACAAACAAAUCUGACCUCAACAGCCGUCGAUCUGGUCGGUCUUCAGAAGCCCGUGGUGCGCGCGCGGCGAGCUCCGGCAAGCAGGUGAGUGGGGGCUGAGCUCAAGCCUUGCUUCUAUCUCACAUUACUUUUCCCCCUUCUCUCUUUCCACCUACGUAGCUAGGAGCUCGGGAGGCAGCUUUGCCACCGUCGCCGGGCUCUAGCGCGAUGGCGGCCUACGGAAGACUAGCCUCCGAUGGACACAUGGUAUGGCAACAACGAGAUGUCAGCAAGGUGGCGACCCCGGCUCCUUGCAGUGGUGGCAAGCGAUGAUUCUUGUGGCCAGCGAGAUCUCAACAGUGAAAGUGGCCCUGGCUUUGCCUCCACAUCGAUCUGUGAUUGGUAGCAGCAUCUUCACUGUCCUAGCCACCAUUCCUUGCUGCAGCCAUGGAGAAGUAUCAGUUCCGGAUCCUGGCGAUACACAAGGAUCUCACCAUAUCUUGGAGUUACAGCAGCGGUGGUAACAUUUAGAUCCUGCUUUUUUCUCUCUCGUGUCCUCUCGCACCAUCCGUCUCCUACUCUGCUAUGUCAUGCAUGAUUUUUAAUCUUAGAUCUAUGGAUUCCUUUAGUUCACCGUUCCAUUGCACUGUUCAUUCCCUAAAAUAUACUGGUGAAUAGAUUAUCUAUUGAAUUUUUAUUCCUUCAGGCACAAUGUGUAUGCAGUAACAUAGUUAAAGUAUGCUAGCGGAAUGUGUUUAAAUAGUGAGUUGAUGUUUUUUUUAUGAUAGGGGGUCCCAUGAUAAGGUGAAAUCAUUUGGAUAAUUAUUUGGUUCUUUUUUGCAUCAUUUACUAAACACAUUGGUCAUCCUUGAGAAGAAGAAUGUGCCGAAGAAGUUCUAGGUAAACAAAAGUAAUUAUUUAUUAAAUGGAGAAUGCAUUCGCAUAGCGGUAUUAUUCUGAAUCAUUCAUGCAUUGCCAACAAAGAAGAAGUUAGAGGCAUUAUUUCUAGCCUGGGAGAUUUUUACUACCACCUAGAAUACAUAGUUGCUUUUCCUUUACAUGGGCAUAUUUGUGGACUGUGAUAACAAGCGAGAAAAUGGAGGGUAUGUGUUUUUUAAGUCAUUGUAGGUCAAGGUUAGUGCAGUGCAUGAUAACAGUUAGCAUGAAUGUCGAGGGUAUCAGUAAGGGGUACCCUCACCAAUGCACGUAAUGAGAUUACCCGUACGCAGGUCGAGGCCCUCAACUCGACGCUCUGGUCAGACAUACAUACGUCAAUGACCGUAGCCUCGAAGACAAAAAAGGCGUCGAGCGAAUCGAUCAGGGCUCGAGCGCGAGCUACCGUCGAAUACGGAAACGGGCUCGCGCGAACCAGAAGGCGUCGAGCGCAAGGACGCCGCCCGCCGCCUGACGCGCGCACGGGAACCAGGGCAUUUAAUGCGCCUGACGCGUUCUCACCUAACACGCCAGUCACGGGAAGCGUGAUAGGGAACAGGCACCCGUCCCAUCAUCCCUUUUGCAGCCUUCCCCGCCAAACGACUCAGAACGUGCCAGGACGCGGGAAGCAGGGAUGGAACAUCUAAACAGAACCCCCUCGAGACAUCUAAGGUCAACGCUUGGGACGACAAGGCGCUACGCGGCGUCCCACCCUCGACCAGAUAUGUUCCCUUCCAGGAAAAGGGUUGGGCGUCGACUGACAGCACCGCAACCACUCCGCCGGAUCUGCCGCUAUACCGUACAGGCGUGCGACCGGUGAACCAGCCCAAGACGGCGCGCAUAGCAGGAUACAGGGGCACGCGUAAUCAUCACUAGGCUACCAAGACGGGACGGCUCGAGACCACGCCGGUACGGAGGCCUCGAGUAGGUCAGCGCGCCAUGCUCCUAUCGACCCCUACUCUGACAUCUAUACAUGUACCCUAGGUCUCUCCUUGGAGCUAUAAAAGGGGAGACCGGGGAAUAGACAUAGACACAACACUACAUCCAUACGCAGUAGAACUCCCAUACUCCACCUCACUCUAUACCACGCUUGUAUUCGCCCCUGUACAAGCACUUAGGUGCAAGAUAAUACAAAUUUCCCUCCCCCGCUGGACGUAGGGCCUUCUCUUGCCCGAACCAGGAUAAAUCUUUGUGUCUUCUUGCAUCAGCAUCUGGGAAAGGGAGCACGCAUACAAAUUUACUCGUUGGUGUGACCCCCCGUGGGGAAAACACCGACAGUUGGCGCGCCAGGUAGGGGUCCUGCGUGUUUUUCAUCGAUUUCCCACUCCUUUCCAGAUGGCCACUCCCGCUUCGCCGAUUCCGCGCUCCACCGUGAUUUGGUUUGGGAGCCUUGAGUUCAUGUCGACUGGCUCCAGCUAUGACAUGAUCUUGCUCUUGAUCAAAGGACCGGGAGGAGCCCGCGUUGCGCCAGUGCGAAUGAGGGCCCCGAGACGCCCUCGACACCACGCCUCCCCGUCCAAGAAGAGGCGUGGGCAGCAUCAUCGUCACCCCUCUGCCUCGUCACGACCGGCAGUUCGUGCUAGGCAAGAGGUGGCACAGGAGCCGGCCACGCCGCGUACCGGAACCGUGGGCAUGCCGGCCCAACAUCAUACGACGGCAAGAGGUGACGCGCCCCGAGCGCUCUCCCCCACCGCUAGGUUGCUUCCACAUGGGCUGUUCACCCCAAGAAGGGCAUUGCCAUUCGGCUUGGACAACGCCGCGACGUCGCUCGCCAGGGCGAUAUGCCCAAACGCCCGGACGUACGUGGAAAGACCAAUGGUCCUCCCACAUGACUCCAAAGCACGGCCGCCGACGUCCGAGCUGCCGGACCUCUCCCAGGUACGAGGCCUCCGCCGCCUAGGCCCUGGACGAUACACGAUCACCUCGCUCAGGCAACGGCUAUUGGAGGAAGGACGUGGAUGUUACUACGCCGCCGAGCCGGACUCCGACUCCGAGACCGAUAGCUAUGACCCUACAAGGGAAUGCUAUCACAUCGACGGGGCGGUAGAAACUACCGACGAGACGCAGGAUGUGGCUGCCGGCGGUCGAGCCCCUGUAGCAAGAGAUGAUCCCAGGACACCUGGGAACGACGGACAGGUCGACCCGCUUCCACUGGAAGACAGGGCCGCGCAACUCGCGCAGUUACGAGAGCUCAAGACCAAGCUUGAUGAGGACCGUGAGCGCCUCGUCCUGCUCAAGCAAAUCCUCGAGCAAGACUUGCCCUACCCGCCUGGUGGAAGUAUCCGCAGACGCGCUCGAGAGGUACACCAACAAAUUGUCGGAGACGCAGAGCCAGAGCAGCCUGUCAGCCGUUUCCCUCGAGCAGGCCAGAAUGUAGUGGCGGCAACGAUGCUGCUGCGCAACAUGCCAGAGCCAUCGAACUCCCAAGCUCGACGUAUUCGAGACGAGGUACAGACUCUGCUCCAGGUGGCGGCGGUUCAACAAGCCGAAAGCUCGGCUUCUCGACGACGAGGAGCUACCACUGAAAAGCAUGACGAGCCGGCCCAAAAUGAAAAAGAGGUGUCGGUCCACCAGCAGCCACCUCCCCGAGCAAAAAAGACCACGCUCGUCCUCCCCGUCGACGACCAGCGUCGGCACGACGCACGACGCGACGUUGAAGAAAAUCGACGCCGUCGGCAUGGGGACGCGGAAGAGCGCGGUUACAGCGCACAUCAUGGCGGGAGGUACGUCAGCGACGAGGACCGAAUGGCCCCCGAGCCACCAGGCCCACGGGUGUUCAGCAGGGCAAUCCGCAGCACACCACUGCCCAGUCCGUUCCGACCCCCAACCAGCAUCGCAAAAUACAAUGGUAAAACCAAACCAGAACUAUGGCUGGCAGAUUUCAGGUUAGCUUGUCACCUAGGAGGUGCUCGAGGAGACGAUCGAGCCAUCAUCAGACAACUACCACUUUUUCUCUCUGAUACCGCCCGACGGUGGCUCGAGAAACUUCCACCUAAUCAGAUCCACGACUGGGUCGAUUUAGUUAGAGUCUUCGAGGGUAAUUCCAAAGGGACCUACAUAUGGCCCGAGAACUCGUGGGACCUUAGCAAGUGCAAACAAAAGUCAGGAGAAACUCUUCGAGAGUAUGCUCGACGCUUCUCGAAGCAGCGCACUGAGCUACCACAUAUCCCUGACCACGAUGUCAUCCUGGCAUUUGUCUCUGGUACCACCAGUCGAGACCUGGUACGAGAAUUGGGCCGGAAUCGCCCUCAAACCGUCGAUGAGCUAAUGGACAUAGUGGCAAACUACGCAGCAGGGGAGGAAGCGGUCGACGCUUUCUUCAGUUGUGAAGGAAGGAAAGGCAAGCAGCCCGCCGAUGAAGAUGGGACCCCCAGUCGAGGGCCCAAGAAAAACAAGAAGAAGCAGAAAGCGCGGCAGUUCAAGCAUGAAGACCUCGACAACGAUCUCGUCGCCGUCACGGAACGCAAGAGGCCUCGAGGCCCUCCAGAUGGAGGCAUUUUCGACAAGAUGCUAGAGGAGCUAUGCCCUUACCAUAAGGGAGGCGCCAAUCACAAGCUCAAGGACUGUCGUAUGCUGAAAAAGCAUUUCGACGGUCUGGGGUUCAAAAAGGAUGCGCGUGACGACCCAAAGAAGGAGAAGGGCGGCGACAAGGAGAGCAACCAGGACGACGAUGGUUUCCCUGCCGUCCACGACUGCUACAUGAUCUAUGGUGGGCCCUCGACGCAGUUGACUACAAGGCAGCACAAGAGGGAACGCCAUGAGGUCUUCGCAGCGAGAAUGGCGGUGCCCCAGUACCUCAGCUGGUCGAGCACGCCCAUCACCUUCGAUCGAGAGGACCACCCGGACAAGGUAGUCGCCCCAGGCGUCUACCCACUCGUCGUCGACCCCAUCAUCGUCAACACCCAACUUUCGAAGGUGCUGAUGGACGGCGGCAGCAGCCUCAACAUCAUCUACCUCGAGACCCUCGACCUCCUCGGUAUCGACAGGGGACGGCUCCAACCAAGCGUCGGCGGUUUCCAUGGCGUCGUGCCAGGGAAAAAGGCGCUGCCAGUGGGUCGAAUCGACUUACCGGUCUGCUUUGGCACGGCGGCCAACUUCAGGAAGGAGACCCUCACCUUUGAGGUGGUCGGGUUCCGGGGCACGUACCACGCCAUCAUCGGGCGCCCGGGCUACGCCAAGUUCAUGGCUAUACCCAACUACACCUACUUGAAACUGAAGAUGCCCGAUCCCAAAGACGUCAUCACCGUCAGCUCCUCUUUCGAGCACGCUUACAAGUGCGACGUUGAGUGCGUCGAGUACGGGGAGGCGGUCGAGAACUCCACCGAGCUUGUCGCAAAGCUCGAGGCCCUGGCCGCUGAGGCUCCAGAGCCCAAGCGCCACGCAGGCAGCUUCGAGCCAGCCGAAGGAACCAAGAAGAUCCCGCUCGACCCUAACAGCUCCGACGGCAAGGUGCUGACGAUCAGCGCCGACCUCGACCCCAAAUAGGAAGCUGUGCUCGUCGACUUUCUCCGUGCGAACACUGAUAUGUUUGCAUGGAGUCCCUCGGACAUGCCAGGCAUACCGAGGGAAGUCGCCGAGCACUCCUUGGAAAUUCGAGCCGGUUCCAAGCCAGUGAAGCAACGGUUGCGCCGAUUCGACGAGGAGAAGCGCAAGAUCAUUGGCGAGGAGGUCCACAAGCUUUUGACGGCCGGAUUCAUCAAGGAGGUUCACCAUCCCGACUGGUUAGCAAACCCUGUACUAGUUAAGAAAAAGAAUGGGAAAAUGAGGAUGUGUGUCGAUUAUACGAGUUUAAAUAAAGCAUGUCUGAAAGUUCCCUUUCCAUUACCACGUAUUGAUCAAAUUGUUGAUUCUACUGCGGGAUGUGAAACCCUUUCUUUCCUUGAUGCAUAUUCUGGUUACCAUGAAAUAAAAAUGAAAGAGUCCGACCAGCUCGCGAUCUCUUUCAUCACACCUUUUGGGAUGUAUUGCUAUGUAACCAUGCCAUUCGGGCUCCGAAACGCGGGAGCCACGUACCAACGCUGCAUGCUCCACGUGUUUGGCAAGCACAUAGGGUCGACAGUCGAGGCCUAUGUCGACGACAUCGUCGUCAAAUCAAAGCGGCAAGGAGACCUGAUCCAGGAUCUCGAGAUCGCUUUCAGCUGCUUACACGCCAACCAGAUCAAGCUCAAUCCCGAGAAAUGCGUUUUCGGCGUGCCUCGAGGCAUGCUCCUAGGUUACAUUGUUUCCCAGCGUGGCAUCGAGGCCAACCCUGAGAAAGUCUCGUCCAUCACAAGAAUGGGGCCGAUCCGAGACAUCAAGGGUGUGCAGAGAGUCACGGGAUGCCUAGCGGCGCUGAGCCGUUUCAUCUCAAGGUUAGGAGAAAAGGCGUUACCAUUGUAUCGGCUCCUGAAGAAAGUCGAGCGUUUCUCUUGGACUCCCGAGGCUGAGGAAGCCCUCAAAAACUUGAAGAAAACACUGACUUCAGCACCAGUCCUGGUCCCGCCUCAACCUGGGGAACCACUGCUCCUUUACGUUGCCUCAACGACUCGGUCGUCAGUGCAGCUGUGGUUGUCGAGAGGCAGGAGGAGGGGCAUGCAUUGCCAGUCCAGAGACCAGUCUAUUUCAUCAGCGAGGUGCUCUCGGAGACCAAGACGCGUUACCCUCAAAUCCAGAAGCUAAUAUACGCCGUAAUCCUCGCCCGACGCAAGCUGCAACACUAUUUCCUCGGCCACCCCAUCACGGUGGUCUCAUCCUUCCCCUUGGGCGAGAUAAUCCAAAAUAGGGAGGCCACGGGAAGAAUAGCCAAAUGGUCGGUCGAGCUCAUGAGUGAGACUCUCACUUAUGCGCCUCGCAAGGCCAUCAAAUCGCAAGCCCUGGUGGUUUUCAUCGCGGAAUGGACAGACUCCUAGCUUCCCCCGACUCAGGUCCAGUCGGAGCUGUGGACGGUGUAUUUUGACGGGUCACUCAUGAAGACGGGAGCCGGGGCCGGUCUGCUGUUCAUCUCGCCCUUAGGCGUUCAUAUGAGGUACGCCAUCAGGAUUCACUUUGCUGCAUCCAACAAUGUCACAGAGUACGAGGCCCUCGUCAACGGUCUCAAGAUCGCCAUCGAGCUAGGAGUCCGACGCCUUGACGACUGAGGCGACUCCCAGCUCGUCAUCGACCAAGUGAUGAAGGCCUCAAACUGCCACGACCCGAAAAUGGAGGCUUACUGCAAGGAAGUACGUCGACUCGAGGACAAAUUCCAUGGCCUUGAGCUCGUCCACGUCGCCCGACGCUACAACGAGGCAGCCGACGAACUCACCAAGAUCGCGUCGACCCGAGGCACGGUACCACCUGACGCGUUCUCAAGAGAUCUUCACGAGCCAUCCGUCGACUUGGGCUCGGGGGCUGGCGUCGAUGCCGCUCCUGCCUAGCAAACCGACACCGUCGAUGCAUUAUUGAUGGCAGCUGAGGUGAUGGAGGUAGAACAGUGGCCCGGCCGACCAUUCGACUGGCGCACACCGUUCCUCGACUGCCUAAUCCGCUGCGAGCUGCCAGAAGAUCGAUCUGAGGCCCGCCGUAUCGCUCGACGGGCCAAGUCAUAUGUGAUCUAUGGCGAGGACAACGAGCUAUAUCGACGAAGACCGACGGGGAUCUUGCAGCGUUGCAUCACCGUGGAAGAAGGCUGGAAGCUCCUCGAGGAUCUGCACUCGGGGGCUUGUGGCCACCAUGCUGCUCCACGGACCCUCGUAGGGAACGCCUUCCGACAAGGCUUCUACCGGCCAACGGCCGUAGCUGAUGCCAUCGAGCUCGUACGCUCAUGCCACGGGUGCCAGUUCUACGCCAAACAGACGCAUCUGCCCGCCCACGCUCUUCAGAUGAUCCCCAUCACAUGGCCGUUCGCAGUAUGGGGGCUCGACUUAGUAGGGCCUCUGCAAAAAGCAAAAGGGGGGUACACCCACUUACUGGUAGCUAUCGACAAGUUCUCCAAAUGGAUCGAGGCUCGACCCAUCACCAACAUUCGCUCCGAGCAGGCCGUCCUUUUGUUCACCGACAUCAUCCACCGGUUUGGGAUCCCCAACGUCAUCAUCACUGACAACGGCACUCAGUUCACUGGCAAGAAGUUUUUAGACUUCUGCGAUCAGCAUCACAUCCGUGUGAACUGGUCUGCAGUGGCCCACCCUCGAACUAACGGCCAGGUCGAGCGUGCCAACGACAUGAUUUUGUAGGGACUCAAGCCAAGGAUCUACAAUCGCUUGAAGAAAUUCGGCAAGAAGUGGGUCGAGGAGCUUUCCUCGGUCCUAUGGAGCCUAAGGACGACGCCAAGCAGGGCCACAAAAUACACCCCAUUCUUCAUGGUCUACGGCUCUGAGGCUGUUCUCCCGACAGACCUCGAGUAUGGGUCCCCUCGACUCAAAGCGUACAACGAACAAUCAAAUAAAGAAUCUCAAGAAAACACGGUCGACCAACUCAAAGAAGCUCGAGACAUGGCCCUCAUCAACUCUGCUAGAUACCAGCAGAAGCUUCGACGCUACCACGACAAGCACGUGCGCAGGAGGGACUUGAACGUGGGAGACCUUGUUCUACGACGGCGACAAAGCAACCAAGGACGCCACAAGCUGACCCCACCAUGGGAGGGCCCAUACGUGGUGGCCGAGGUCUUGAAGCCAGGGACAUACAAGCUCACAGACGAAAAGGGGGCAAUCUUCACCAACGCAUGGAACAUCGAACAGCUACGUCGAUUCUACCCCUAGAAUUUCAAAGCUUUAAGUUCCUACGUACGCUUUGUACCAAGGCCUUGUAAAUGAAUGUACGAAUAAAUGAAGUCUUUCCCUCAAGCAAUUUACUUUUCCACAAGUCUCAACGAUAGAAGGGAGUACCGACUACGACCCAUCAUAGUCGACACUCCCUCGGGGGCUAGCAAGGGGGGUGACCCACCCCCAAAGUAUCGGAAAAAAUCUAGUAAUCCUUUCAUUCCUAUCGGUGAUCUCACACGGUUGAGUAGUAAAGGUACCUCGAGCCCUUUAAGGGCCGAGGAACGACGAGCCUGAGAACUCCUACGCCCCCGGGCUAUGGAAACUCUACUCGCCUUCUCACCCUUGAGGAAAUUGAGACCGCCUCGAACAAAAGACCAAGUGAGAAAAAACAAACAUAGGCACAGAAAGGAAUAAAAAGAAGCCUCGAAAGAAAAGGCAGACAAAUAUAUAACAACCACUUAAAGACACUAUAUCACUUAAAAACAGGAUUAACAGAGUACUAUACAAGGGGCCCCAGGCACCCUGAGCAGGCUCGCAGGCCUUAGUCCACAGCACGAUCCUCACCACUCUCGCCUACGCCCGAGCUAGUCUCACGAGGAAGCACCUCAGGCUCAAAUAGCUUGGCCAGCCUCUCUCCAGGAACCUCCGCGUCGUCGAUCAAGGCGUGGAGCCUCUCUUCGUUCUCCGCGUCGGUCUUAGAGAUGUCGGUGACGAAGCCGUGGGACACCACCUCCAUGUCGUAGGAGAAGCCUGAGCAGACAACCGCCAUCGCCCGCUUCACCUCGAUGUGGAGGGCGUCCCGCACCCGAUCUCUCAGCGUCGCGCCUAGGUAGCACAGCUGGUCGACCAGUGCGUCGCCUCGAGCGUCCUCCUUCGACUCAUCCAUGGGCUCGAUCUCCCAAGAGGACGAGAGAUCGCUUAUCGUCGUUCGCACUCGACGGUUCAAAGCAACCUCCGCCUCGAGCUGAGCCUUAGCACUGCGGGCCUCGACUUGGGCGGCCAAGAGUUCGUCCUUAAGCCCUAUGAAUGCCAAUACAAGAAACUUUAGAAAAAACCAAGCACACCUCGAAAAGGAAGUUCGACAAUAGAAACGUACCACGGAUGCUCUCCUCCAGGGCCGUGUUCUCGCCAACCAAUCUGGUGUUGGCCCUCUCAAUCUCUUUGUUGGAGCGGGCCAGCUCAGUGUUGGCAACGCGGAGAUCCUCGAUCGCCUUGCCAGCCUGAGCAAUGGCCCCACUCUUCUCCAACAGCUCUCCCUUCAGACGUUCGACGUCGUCAGAGAGCCUGCGGGAUCGAGCCCGCUCCGCCUCGAGGUCUUCGAGGGCCUUCUUCUUGGCUUCCUCCGCAGCGCUCCUGGCGAUCUCGCCGCUCACGUGCUCCACCUUCAUCCUUUGAAAGGAGUCUCGAAGGGAGUCCAGGUCGGUCUUGAGAAGGCCCUUCUCCUUGUCCAAGUCAGCAAUGACGUUCUUAUAGGACAGGGCCUCCUCCCGGGCUUUUGAUGCGGCCUCCUCGACCAUCAGAGCCCGCUCCCGCAGCAGCGUCAUCUCCUCCACCGCCUUUCUUGAGGCCUCUUGAGCCUCGACCAAGGCAGCCUCCCUCGCCUUCUUCUCCUCCUCGAGCGCUAUGAGGUCUUUAUAAGCCUUAAGGAGUUUUUCCUGCGACUCGAGGAGUUGGUCCUUGAGGACGGGGAGCUGCUCCCAACCGCCUCUCGUGGCGUGAAUGAAGCUCGACUUGAUGCGGGAGGUCUCUUUCAUGUCCUGCAAGCCGGUGGUCAAACGGUUAGAACACAAAACCAAUGGAUCUAUAAGGACUAAGGACCGAAAAAUACUUACAAAGUAAGCCGGUCCGAGACCGUUAUUGAUGAUGUCCGACAGGAGCCCCACCACGUGCUUCAUCCAAAGGCGGAGCUCCUCGACGUGUUCCCACUUCUCGGCCUCCUUCCGAUCGUCGAGGAAGAUGUUGGGCUCGGACGGAUCGGUGGAAGCCCAGAUACGAAUCCGAUCGGGACGCCAGUUCUCCAUCUCCCGGUCAGCCCGCGCCUUGAUGCCGCGGAUAAGGUUCUCGACGGUCUCGAGGGAGCCCCCGUGGCGCAAGAACAAGUCGACGAGGCAUGGGAACCGCUCGUCGUCGUCUACCGUCUUCCAGGUGCCGUCUCCUCCCCGACGUCCCGAUCUCAUCCUCCUCAGAGGGAAAACGGUCCUCCCACGCCCGACGCUCCUGGAGGAACCCUGGGGCGAUUCCGUCCAUGCCGUAGAUCGUCCUCCUAAUCUCGGACUCAGGGUCGACGGGGGUGCGCAUCAUGCAGGCAAGCGCCACCACACCGUCCGCCCGCCCCGACUCUGUCGGGAUCGCGGCGGGCGCCCCUGGAAGGAGCCACGCUGGGGUUGGAGGGCCGAAAACCGGCAAAUCCUCCUCCUGGUCUCCGGGUUCUUGCGGCGCCGGUGGUACAGGUUGGGGCGGACUGUGAGGAGGGGGCUCGAGCGGUCCUUCUUCCUGGCCCCCCUGCUGCUGCUGCUGUUGCUCCUCGAGCUCCUGCGACUCUUGUCGGCAGCCCUGCUCCUGCGGCUGCCGCCUUGCCUCGCGCUCCCGCUCCUCCUCCUCUUCCUUUUUCUUCUGCUCCUCAAGGGCGCGAAGACCAGUAGGCCAGGGCGUCCGUCCCGCGACAAGGGAGGUCGACGCCUCCUCAUCCAUAGGACGGGCAUCCCUAGACGUCUCGUUGCCGCCAGACGUGUCGCUGAUGGUAAUGGGGUCCCCCUCGAUCCCCGAUCGGGGAGGCUCGGGGGCUCCCUCUUGCCCUUGGGUCUUGGCGACCUCGGCCUGUGUCGGCGGCGACGGGGUAGACUCGGGAUGAGGCGGGGCACUCUCAGCGUCGGCCGGAGGUUGAGAGUCGGAGGAGCCUGUAAAACAAAGAAUAUAGGCCGGUCACUAUGAUGACCAACGUAAGAGCAUCGCAAGUCCCAGAAUUAAGCUACAAACCUGGCUCCUUGGAGGCUGCUCCCGCUUUGAGCCUCUUCGCCAUUGAAGGCUGGGCCUGCUCAAGCGUCUGCUUUAAUCUGAGAAAAAAGGAACGAGCAUAAAGAGACCGGUAUACGAGGAAACAGGAGAACAAAAGUCACAACAUCAAAGAGCUUACCCCACGGGGAGAACAGCUCGCCUGCCGGUGCCCCGACCGGUGGGCUUCGAGCCACCCCGCGUCAAGGUCCUAGGCCCCUCGAGGACAGGCGCUGGCCUUGGCCCAGCAACUUCCGCUUGGCGGGCACCAGGACUGGCGCUCCUGUGGCCAGUCUCUCCUUUCUCGAAGGCUGCGGCGCGACCACCAGUCAGUGGCCCCGUCGCCUGGGGCCUAGCAUGGCUACCCAUCCUGGGCGCAGGGGGAGGGCGCGGGGCGACCUGACCAGUCGUGGGCACGGGGGGGUGUCGGCGCGAGGGCAGAGAGAUCCGCCUGGUCCCUCUUUCGGAGUUUCCAUCCGUGGGGCGACGACGUCGCCUCGAGGCGGACCCUCGAGGAUCCGGUCGAGGCGAGACGCCAUCCCCUCGGAGUCGUCGCUGUCCUCAUCACCAUCUCCCCCAUCAUCGUCGCUGGGGGAUUCUUCCUCAGGCUCCCCCCUCUGCCUGGAUUUAGCUCGACGCGCGUCUAGUGCUUGGCGGUCAAGGUUCUUCUUCUUCUCUCCUUUCUUCUUAGAGUCCUUGUCGGACUUCAGUUUCUUAGCGGACUAGCGCCGUUUGUCGCGGUCGACCUCGUCCUCCUUUACUGGAGGCCUCGAGGACCGGACAUCAAUCCGUCCCUGCUAGAACAAAGGUAGACUUAGAAAAAGGGAAGAAAGAAACCCAGAAUCGAAGCUGUGCACGAGAAGAGAGCAUACCAGAUCGAUCGAGCCCGCAUCAGGCCUCAUGGGGAAGCCGUUAACCUGCUCCGGCUUAAAGUCACCGGCAAUUGCGGCCCUGACCCGGGCCGCGACUUCGUCGUUCACCGGAGCCUCGUUGGACAUCCGGCACGCCUCGAGGUCACGAGAUGAAACGCCAGGGCCCAUCUCGUCCAUCCUCAACGGUCGAGACAUCAAUGGGAGAACUCUCCGGUGAUGGACGGUCGAGAGGACGAGAGCGGCAGUCAAGCCCUCCAGGCGAAGCUUCUUUAGGGCGUCGAGGAGGGGGUCGAGCCGCGAUUGAUGAGCUUGGACGACGCCGUAUGUCCAGUCCGCUGGACGCUCCGUGAUCAGGCGACCGGAGUAAGCAGGCAGGAGGUUGUCGUCGUUCCGCAGAUAAAACCACUGGGAGUCCCAGCCGGCGUGGUUAGUCGACAACCCCACUGGGAUGUACUCACGCGGCCUAUCCGUCUUCCCCGUCUUCUGCACGAGAUUGAGGCAUCCCGCCCGCACGGGUUUCCUCACGCCAGUGGUUCCGGUGGGGGCGUUGAAAAGCUCACCCCUGUAGAGGUGGAGCCACAGCUCCCAGUGGGGCAUCAUCCCCAGGUAGCCCUCGCACACCGCGGCGAAGACCGCCGCGACGGUGAUGGCGUUCGGGGAGAAGUGCUGGAGCUCCACCCCAUAGUGGAGGCAGAGCGCCCGCAUGAAGCGGCUCAGAGGAGCGCCCAGGCCGUGGCGGUGGAAUUUGGCGAACGACACCACGUAGCCCUCGGGCGGCUGGGGCUCCCUGUGGUCCGCCGGUGGCGAGAUCCACUCUGGCGACGAUAGCGAGGUGCGGCGGCGCAGGAGUCCCUCUCUCUCAAGCUCUAGCAACCGGCGCUCCGUCAUCGACGACGGGCGCCAGUCGUCGGCGGCGACGAGUCUCACAGGCAUCUUGGCUGGAAGGACGGUGGAUCCGCUACCGCUCGAGGGGGUGCACGCGCGCGUGAGAGAGCAAGAGAACUAAGGCAACGAGAGGGAUAAGGCGAGAAUGAAGACGGGAGGCAGAAGGGAGAACGGCGGCGACGCUAGGGCACAUUUAUAGGCAGCUGUCCACCAACAGGCAGAUCCGAUAAAUGAGGUAACUCCUCCCCAUAAAUGCGCAGUCUAACGGUCCUUUCCCUCCUCUCAGGUGGAGCGCUCCGAAUUCCACGCCAACAUAGUGUCGUAACGUCUCCCAGCUAAAAAGGCGCGCCCAACGGGCAAGAAGGCGAACCGCCCACGGUCUCUUCCUUCCCUUGUAAGCCAAGGAAGUGUACCCAUGAAAGCCUCGGGAGGUCGCAGGCUGGCCCACCGAAAGGGUUCGACAGCCGAUCUCGAGCACCAGAGUCAAGGAUCCCCAGCGAGUGGUCGAAGAUCGAGACCCGCUGAAAGGUCCUAAUAUGGCUAGAGGGGGGUGAAUAGCCUAUUUAAAAAUUCUACAAACUCACUAGAGCAAGAGGUUAGUAAAUAACAAAGCGAAGCUUUUUGCUCUAGCUCUAAAAGGGGUGUUUGCAAGCCACCUAUCCAACAAUUCUAGUUGUUAAAAUCACUAGGCACACAAGAGCUAUGUCACUACUUACACUAGAGAGCUACCUAAAGUUUCUAUAUAAGUAAGUAAGCUACUCUAGUUUGCGGGAAUGUAAGAGAGAAGGUUUGAUCUUUAUACCACCGCGUAGAGGGGAUGAACCAAUCAAUAAAAUGAAGUCCAAUCACCGGGAGAAAUCCAAUGAACAAACACAAAGGAGACAAGCAAUUUUUCUCCCGAGGUUCACGUGCUUGCCGGCACGCUACGUCCCCGUUGUGUCGACCAACACUUGGUGGUUCGGUGGCUAAGAGGUGUAGCACGAACCUCGUCCUCACUAGGACACCACAAGAACCUACCCACAAGUGAGGUAGCUCAAUGACACGAGCAAUCCACUAAUGUUGCCUUUGGCUCUCCGCUGAGGUAGGCACAAACCUCUCACAAUCACUGGGAGAUGGCCACGAACAAUCACCAACUCGUGCCAAUCCUCCUCCGCUGCUCCAAGCCGUCUAGGUGGCGGCAACCACCAAGAGUAACAAGAAAACCGCAGCCAAAUCGAUCCCCAAGUGCCACUAGAUGCAAUCACUCAAGCAAAUGCACUUGGAAUCACUCCCAAUCUCACAAAGAUGUAUAAUCUAUGAAGGAGAUGAGUGGGAGGUGUUUGCUUAGGCUCACAAGGAUGUCUAGUAGUCAAGAAUGCCAAGAGAGUCAGCCCCAAGCCGGCCAAACACGUAUAUAUAGCCCCUCAAACAAAUAGAGCUGUUGGCUCUUUCACUGGGCAAAACACGGGGUCACCGGACGCUCUUAAAGGGGCACCGGACGCUCAACACCAGCGUCCGGUGCUCCGCGUGUCAGAGUCUAACGGUAACCUGCAGAGCACCGAACGCUGAGCAGGUUGGCACCGGACGCGUCCGGUGCACACCGGACUCAUGCGCAGAGAGCUCCGCAAACUUGCAGGGUCACCGGACGCAAGCCACCGGACGCACCCUUAGCGUCCGGUGCUCACCGGACUCAUGCGCAGAGAGGUUUGCAAAACUUCCUCACACCGGACGCACACCACCGGACGCUCCAAGCUGUGUCCGGUGCCUAUCGUCCGGUGCCUAACCCUAACCGAGUCAGGCAGCCUGCACACCGGACGCUCAGACACAGCGUCCGGUGCCUCUGAGCCAGCGUCCGGUGAGUGUUCCUCAGCGAGAAACACUCCCGCGACUUCUCCAAUUUUCCCACCGGCGCAAUAGAAAAUAUGCACUUCAUUUUCUCGAAAAGCGCCGAAUCCCAAGAGGAACCCAUCCUCUCUCUACCCUUCAAACUCCACCUCCUUCUCAAAGUGUGCCAACACCACAACGUGUAAACCAACAUGUGCACGUGUGUUAGCAUUUUCGCAAACAUUUUCUUUGAAGGAGUUAAGUUAGCUCACUAGAUUCUAAAUGCAUGCACAUGAACAAUGACACCUAGUGGCACUUGAUAACCGCUUAGCCAAAGAAUUCCCCUCUUUAUAGUACGUCUAUCUAUCCUAAAUGUGAUCACACCCUCUAUGGUGUCUUGAUCACCAAAACCAAAACCCUAAGCAAUACCUUUGCCUUGAUCUCCAUAGGGUUUUGUUUUUCUCUUUCUUCUUUUCCAAGUUGAGCACAUCACCAUGAUCAUCACUUGCUCCAUCACUUGGCAUGUACCAACCUCAUUAAGUCUACACACACUUUAGUAUAGAGGUUAGUACUAGGGUUUCAUCAAUUAUCCAAAACCAAACUAGGGCUUUCACCCGCCUCGAAGGCUUGCUGGGGAUGUCCAAGGUAGGGUCAAGACAGUCGAGAGGAAUCCCCCCGAUGGGAGGCAUCGAGCCGCCGGACUCUAUCGAAUGAGACCGGUAUCCCCGACCACGUCGACCCUGCUUUAUGAGAACGCCUCCGGGCUAUAGCUGACCCCCUCGAAAGGGGCAGAGGUUCUCACUUGGAUUACCCAUUAGGAACUCAAUCUAGGGUGGAUGACGCUCGCUCUAUCGAGAGUACGUCGAAACCCUCACGCAAAGCGUGCCAAUCAGGACCUUCCACCACCGGUGUCGACAACGUUUCUGAGAAUUAGGCAAUAUAACCCUCGAAGGAGUCAAAAACUCCUCCAAGGGCUCGGGGGCUACCCCCGCUGGGUCGCUCGCGCGCCCCCACGGAGAUUCGACCUCAAAAUAAAGCCUCCACUCGAGCGCCAGCGCUCAAAUGGAGACUCAGGGGCUACUGUCGAGGGUAUCAGAAGGGGUACCCUCACCAAUGCACGUAAUGAGAUUACCCGUACGCAGGUCGAGGCCCUCAACUCGACGCUCUGGUCAGACAUACAUACGUCAACGACCGUAGCCUUGAAGACGGAAAAGGCGUCGAGCGAAUCGAUCAGGGCUCGAGCGCGAGCUACUGUCGAAUACGGAAACGGGCUCGCGCGAACCAAGAGGCGUCGAGCGCAAGGACGCCGCCCGCCGCCUGACGCACGCACGGGAACCAGGGCAUUUAAUGCGCCUGACGCGUUCUCACCUAACACGCCAGUCACGGGAAGCGUGAUAGGGAACAGGCACCCGUCCCAUCAUCCCUUUUGCAGCCUUCCCGCCAAACGACUCAGAACGUGCCAGGACGCGGGAAGCAGGGAUGGAACAUCUAAUCAGAACCCCCUCGAGACAUCUAAGGUCAACGCUUGGGACGACAAGGCGCUACGCGGCGUCCCACCCUCGACCAGAUAUGUUCCCUUCUAGGAAAAGGGUUGGGCGUCGACUGACAGCACCGCAACCACUCCGCCGAAUCUGCCACUAUACCGUACAGGCGUGCGACCGGUGAACCAGCCCAAGACGGCGCGCAGAGCAGGAUACAGGGGCACGCGUAAUCAUCACCAGGCUACCAAGACAGGACGGCUCGAGACCACGCCGGUACGGAGGCCUCGAGUAGGUCAACGCGCCAUGCUCCUAUCGACCCCUACUCUGACAUCUAUACAUGUACCCUAGGUCUCUCCUUGGAGCUAUAAAAGGGGAGACCGGGGAAUAGACAUAGACACAACACUACAUCCAUACGCAGUAGAACUCCCAUACUCCACCUCACUCCAUACCACGCUUGUAUUCGCCCCUGUACAAGCACUUAGGUGCUAGAUAAUACAAAUUUCCCUCCCCAGCUGGACGUAGGGCCUUCUCUUGCCCGAACCAGGAUAAAUCUUUGUGUCUUCUUGCAUCACCAUCUGGGAAAGGGAGCACGCAUACAAAUUUACUCGUUGGUGUGACCCCCGUGGGGAAAACACCGACAAUGAAUAUUUGCCUUCAUAAUUUAUUUAGUGUCACAAUGUGUUGCUUCCUUUCAGAGAGCUAAAUAUUUGUGCAGCCAUCAUUGCAUUUUGUUGUAUUUCGUUCAUAACAAUACCUGAUUACAUACCUUGCUGCACUGCAUUCAGAAGAGACAUGUGCCUUCUCGACAAGGCAGAAGUGCCUCCAUUGUCUCUGUAGGGGCUUAAUUCAGUAUUCACAUUGAAGCCACAACAACCAUUUGUAGUAGGGGGCUUAAUUCGUCAUUCACACCGAAGUCUAGGUUUUCAUUUGUUCUAAUAGCUGUUUUCCAUAUUUCAGAUCUUAGACUUCUUGACUUAGCUGGCAAUGAAUUGUUAUGGUGGCAGGUAACACAAUGUGUUAGCCUGCCCCAAUCAGUGGCAGAUCUAGGGGUAUUCCCCAGUAUUCCCAGGAAUACCUAACUAUUUUGGUACACUUUUAUGUAAAUAUGUGUAUAUACUUAUAUAUAUAAAUGUAUAAUGAUAUAAUAUAUAGUAUUUUGCACAUUUGAGCUCAAAACAUGUCAAAAACUAGCAUUUCAUUUAGAAUUCUAUAUUCUAGAAAGCAAAUAUUAGUUUAAAGCUGCUAACUUGCAGUACAAUUGACUAUAUUUUCAACCUAUAGAUUAACUUUGUGGAAGUAGGAAUACCCAAGUUUAAAAUUCUGGCUCCGCCACUGGCCCCAAUCCUCCAGUGGAUUUGCCUAAUGGAUGUGAGUUCUCAGGAAUUGGAUUUUUUUGUUAGUAAUUUUGGGAUGAUAAAUUGGGAGAACUAUAUAGUGUGCUUUUAGCUACUGAGGGAAGAGGUGAUCCCACAAGUAUCUGCUUGGUCAACUAUUAGUUUGCAGCUCUCUGCCAUUUAGUUAGAUUAUGUAUAUGUGCUAAUCCAAAUUGUUACUUGUAUGCCGUGCCAUAAAGCCUUAAGUGAGGAUAAUCUAUUCUAUAGAAAAACUAUGAACAAAUUCAUGUUAUAUUAAUAUUAGAGAUUAAUAUUUAUCAUAUUACUGUUCCUCUCCCUUCUAAAGAGAUGCUUGACAUGAACAAAAUCAUGGAGAAAAAAUAUGAACAAAUUCGUUAUUCUCAGACCAUUCACUAUCUUCUAUCUAGCUGUUUUCUUUCACUUUUCUCUAUGAAUUGUAAUCUUGGUUAUAUAGGUAUAUUUUGUGUGCUGGGUGCCAAGCAUUGUUCUAUCAAAGUAAUGAAAUCCAUUUUCUGUCGUUUGUUCUUCAUAUAAAUAUAAUAUAUAAUAGUUAUCAUUGCAACAACUCUUUCUAAUUCUUAAAUAAGGAAAAGCAUUCUAUCGUUUAACCUUUGCUUUCCCAUCACACAUGCCGAAGUUUAUUAAUAUGUCAACUAUUUUCAUGACAUUUUUUAGAUUAAUGAAUUGUUGCCUUGCCUCAGUUUGUAGGUUGAUCGUCUCUGAUGGGGUAGUGGUUUCCUCAUGCAGAUAAUGGCUUUUGUGUAGCCCACGAAAUAAUUGGGACCUGAUUUUAGCAAAUGUGACUUAUGAGAUUAAUGUGCACUUUAAAAUGCUUGAAAAAAACAGUAAAAAUUGUUCUGGUUAUAUUUGUGUUUCUGUGCCCCAAGAUGUUACAAGCUGCAUAGUCUAUAUUUUUAAUUUAAAUUUUGAUUUGCCCCAAACAUGUUGGCCCUUGUACUGGGCAUGAGGGUAGGCUAAUAACAGCUGGAGGGUGUAUACUAAGUGUUCUACCGAUUGCGGGUGUAUACUUAGUGUUCUACCGAUUGCAGCCAGUUUAUGUAUGAUCGACCUCUACAGUAUGUGUCAUCUAGCAUUCAAAAAAAAGGUGACAUAUUGGCUUCCCCAACUUUUCUCCUCAUGCUUACGUGAAGCAGCAUUUUAUUGUCUUAUCAUUGUCUUGCAUAUAUUUACAUAUAUUGGUUCAAGCAAGCAGAUGAUAAAUUGGAUUACCUAGGCGUGUAUGUAUGUUUUAGUAGUGGACUGUCAUUAUGGCUGGAACACGUUAAGUGUCAUUAUUAUGGACUGUCAUUAUGGUCUACCUGAGCAUGUUAUUUAAUCUGAAUUGGUUGGUUGUAAUAUACUGUCUUCAUAUAUAGGAUAUACUUUCUAUUUUUGGGGGGCAAUUUCCUGUCUUUCAUCUGCAACUAUUUGCAUCCUUGAAUCAAAGUGUUUCCCUGAAUCAACACAAGUGCUGAUAUAAUUUUACAUUUGUUUUCGCGUUGUACAUGAAUCAAUCCAAUGAAAUGUUGUCCGGUAAACAUCUUAAAAUGACCUUUCAUUGUCUCUUGGCUGAAGCUUUAUAAUACAAUUACAUUGCAUGGUUUAAUAUAGCUGGAAAUUAGAGAUGGCAGAGGUGAGGGCUAUGGUCUUAAGCAUGAUUAUCACAGAUAUGAUGCACACUAAAUAAUAUUCAUUAUAGGGCCAAUUAGAGGUUUGUACACUGAAGAUGUCAACUUUAACUAAAAUACAAGUAGUUCCUCUUACGAUUGAUUCAUUAUUGUUACUGUUUAUUUGACAAUCGUUGUAUAGUGCAGUGACUAGAAAGGAAUGGACUUGUCUGUUGAACAAAGAGCUUGCUGCUACAACCAACAAAAUCUGUCAAAUGAAGAAAUGCAGAUGUGUGCACAGACAAUGUUGCUACCCAAUUGACAAAAAGAGCCUCUUAUAGAUACUCUAAUCCUAAUCUUAGGUGUUGGCCCUACAAUGAUAGUAGAAACCAAGAAUGACUAUAUGUAUCGUUUGCUUAUAAAGUAUUGUGUUUUUCACACCAUUGCAGGGUGCCCUUUGGGCGCCUGAUGUUAAAGAUACUAUACUUUUGGUCUUAUCUCCCUGAAAAUACUUUUGUGA